GCGCCGGUGAUGUAAUGGUGUAGAGCAUUCCCGGCUGGUUAGAGGGAGGUGCGGGUUCGAGUCCCGCCUGGCGCU
Molecule: non-coding RNA, 75 nt
Organism: Heligmosomoides polygyrus
Lineage: Eukaryota; Metazoa; Nematoda; Chromadorea; Rhabditida; Heligmosomidae
Source: Rfam